CCUUCGGGGUACACGAGCGGCGAACGGGUGAGUAACACGUGGGUGAUCUGCCCUGCACUUCGGGAUAAGCCUGGGAAACUGGGUCUAAUACCGGAUAUGACCUCCGGCCGCAUGGUUGGUGGUGGAAAGAUUUAUCGGUGCAGGAUGGGCCCGCGGCCUAUCAGCUUGUUGGUGGGGUAAUGGCCUACCAAGGCGACGACGGGUAGCCGACCUGAGAGGGUGACCGGCCACACUGGGACUGAGACACGGCCCAGACUCCUACGGGAGGCAGCAGUGGGGAAUAUUGCACAAUGGGCGAAAGCCUGAUGCAGCGACGCCGCGUGAGGGACGACGGCCUUCGGGUUGUAAACCUCUUUCAGCAGGGACGAAGCGCAAGUGACGGUACCUGCAGAAGAAGCACCGGCUAACUACGUGCCAGCAGCCGCGGUAAUACGUAGGGUGCAAGCGUUGUCCGGAAUUACUGGGCGUAAAGAGUUCGUAGGCGGUUUGUCACGUCGUUUGUGAAAACUCACAGCUCAACUGUGAGCCUGCAGGCGAUACGGGCAGACUUGAGUACUGCAGGGGAGACUGGAAUUCCUGGUGUAGCGGUGAAAUGCGCAGAUAUCAGGAGGAACACCGGUGGCGAAGGCGGGUCUCUGGGCAGUAACUGACGCUGAGGAACGAAAGCGUGGGUAGCGAACAGGAUUAGAUACCCUGGUAGUCCACGCCGUAAACGGUGGG
RNAcentral lists this ribosomal RNA (720 nucleotides) under Rhodococcus globerulus. Its description in RNAcentral is "bacterial SSU rRNA". It matches the Rfam family "Bacterial small subunit ribosomal RNA", at positions 77 to 813 of the family's 1533-position model. Lineage: Bacteria; Bacillati; Actinomycetota; Actinomycetes; Mycobacteriales; Nocardiaceae. The record is from RNAcentral.